This is a non-coding RNA of Saccoglossus kowalevskii, 73 nucleotides long. The record is from the annotation of a RefSeq genome assembly. Lineage: Eukaryota; Metazoa; Hemichordata; Enteropneusta; Harrimaniidae.
GGUGUCAUGGUGUAGCGGUUAUCACGUCUCCUUUACACGCAGAAGGUCCUGAAUUCGAUCCUCAGUGAAACCA